GAACUGAAGAGUUUGAUCAUGGCUCAGAUUGAACGCUGGCGGCAGGCCUAACACAUGCAAGUCGAGCGGAUGAAGGGAGCUUGCUUCUGGAUUCAGCGGCGGACGGGUGAGUAAUGCCUAGGAAUCUGCCUGGUAGUGGGGGACAACGUUCCGAAAGGAGCGCUAAUACCGCAUACGUCCUACGGGAGAAAGUGGGGGAUCUUCGGACCUCACGCUAUCAGAUGAGCCUAGGUCGGAUUAGCUAGUAGGUGGGGUAAUGGCUCACCUAGGCGACGAUCCGUAACUGGUCUGAGAGGAUGAUCAGUCACACUGGAACUGAGACACGGUCCAGACUCCUACGGG
Molecule: ribosomal RNA, 342 nt
Filed under: Pseudomonas citronellolis
Lineage: Bacteria; Pseudomonadati; Pseudomonadota; Gammaproteobacteria; Pseudomonadales; Pseudomonadaceae
Description: bacterial SSU rRNA
Rfam family: Bacterial small subunit ribosomal RNA
Source: RNAcentral